UUCGGACCUCCAAUCAA
Molecule: ribosomal RNA, 17 nt
Filed under: Chorda asiatica
Lineage: Eukaryota; Phaeophyceae; Laminariales; Chordaceae
Description: partial 28S ribosomal RNA
Source: RNAcentral